This is a long non-coding RNA of Hypanus sabinus (Atlantic stingray), 871 nucleotides long. RefSeq lists it as uncharacterized. NCBI's taxonomy places the organism in Eukaryota, Metazoa, Chordata, Chondrichthyes, Myliobatiformes, Dasyatidae. The transcript is spliced from 3 exons. The record is from RefSeq and is a predicted model, not a curated record.
AAAUGCAGAGAAGUCUAGGAACAGGAAGAUGUUUUCAGAGUAAGGCAUAAAUUGGUUCGGAUUUCUUCACUCAGAGGCCAAGAUCGGUGUCCUCUUCCUGUGCAGUGAUUCAGUGAUUUGUCAUUGAUGAGGAUCUAUUCAGGCCAAGAUCUACUGGACAGGCUGCUUGCAUGUCGACCUUGGAGACUGAAAUCACAGGAUCAUCUGUGGCUGCAGGUUCCUCCAUGUUUGAAUGGUCAAAAUAAGCACACAACGCAAUGAACUUGUCUGAAAGCAAAGCCCCAUUGUUGCCCAUGUUGCUUGAUUUUAAUUUAAAUGAGGUGUUGGCAUUCGAGUCUUGUCACAAUUAUCGAGCAUCCUUCAUUGACUCAGGUUUAGUCUAGAAUUGCCACGUCACCUGCGAGAUGGCUUCCAGAGAUUGUAUCUGGACCUUUUGUGACUUUCUUGGUAACCGGACUUGAAUCCUUCUGACUUGCCCUCAGCAGAGUGCCCUCACCAGGGCUUCUGAUAGGGAUGAAUCUGAAUGAUUGUGUGAAACAUACUAAUUUACAUCUGUUUUAAUAAGCCCUCCCAGUCACGUCUGUUCGAAUUUAUAUACACGCCCUGUUCCAAUGUGUUGAACAACUAGUUCCAGAUCUUGACCACCUUCUGGAUGAAAAUUAUUUCCUAAUCCCGUCGCAGAUCCUCCUAGCAUAUUCCUUAGUUUAUGGCACCUUUGCUUAUUAAAUGAGAUCCUUCCUAUUUACUGUACUUAAUAAAUUUAAACCUCUGCAUAUUCUGUAAUACAAUUUAGUGCUCAAAGCUACAUGGAAUAUUUAAGCUCUCAUCUAACUAAUGCCAUUAUAUUGUAACCUUCCUUAUGUUCUCUGUU